Euleptes europaea (tarantolino) is the source of this 130-nucleotide small nucleolar RNA. RefSeq annotates it as small nucleolar RNA U109. The record is from RefSeq and is a predicted model, not a curated record. Lineage: Eukaryota; Metazoa; Chordata; Lepidosauria; Squamata; Sphaerodactylidae. The transcript has a single exon.
CUGCACAAUGGAAGCUCUCAUACUUCCUUCAGGGAGAAUGAAUAUUCCUUUAGUGCUAUACAGUUGAGGAGUUUUCAGGGCCACCAGCUUUGGAGCAGAGGCUGAGUGGUAGUAUAUUUCUCCUACAUUA